Molecule: ribosomal RNA, 291 nt
Filed under: uncultured bacterium
Lineage: Bacteria
Description: partial 16S ribosomal RNA
Rfam family: Bacterial small subunit ribosomal RNA
Source: RNAcentral
GUGGAUUAGAUACCCCAGUAGUCCACGCCGUAAACGAUGGAUGCUAGCCGUUGGCAGGCUUGCCUGUCAGUGGCGCAGCUAACGCUUUAAGCAUCCCGCCUGGGGAGUACGGUCGCAAGAUUAAAACUCAAAGGAAUUGACGGGGGCCCGCACAAGCGGUGGAGCAUGUGGUUCAAUUCGAAGCAACGCGAAGAACCUUACCAGCCCUUGACAUCCCGGUCGCGGGAACGAGAGAUCGAUCCCUUCAGUUCGGCUGGACCGGAGACAGGUGCUGCACGGCCGUCGACAGCU